This 1805-nucleotide long non-coding RNA is filed under the name Macaca fascicularis (crab-eating macaque). Its description in RNAcentral is "lncRNA (ENSMFAG00000048070.1)". The record is from RNAcentral. Lineage: Eukaryota; Metazoa; Chordata; Mammalia; Primates; Cercopithecidae.
UUUUUUUUUUUUUUGAGAAGGAGUCUUGCUCUGUUGCCCAGGCUGGAGUGCAGUGGUAUGAUCUCUGCUCACUGCAACCUCUGCCUCUAGGGUUCAAGUGAUUCUUCUGCCUCAGCCUCCCGAGUAGCUGGGAUUACAGGCCUCUGCCACUAUGCCUGGCUAAUUUUUGUGUUUUGAGUAGAGAUGGGGUUUCACCAUGUUGACCAAGCUGGACUCGAACUCCUGACCUCAGGUGAUCUGCCCACCUCAGCUUCCCAAAGUGCUGGGAUUACAGGCGUGAGCCACUGCUCCCGGCCAGGACAUAUUCUUUAUUUGCUCAGUGUUUGGGACACUAUGACAGCAAAGCUGUCUUGGGAAACCUAAAAUUUUAUGGAAAGUGGCUUUGGAAUUAAUGACAUCACUGUUAGUCAUCCCGUAUCUUUGAAUACCGAGUACCUGGAGCAGGUGGUUGGUUCUCCUCCUCACAACCUCUGAAAGUUUUUGCUCUUCAUACCAAGGCAUAAUGGGGGCAGGAGGAGGAGCAGAGACUAUGAAAUAGUAGGAACAGAGACUGUGAAAUAAAUAUUCAGAAAUCUGGCAUUUAGGCCAGACUAGCUUCUUCCCCUGAGAUUAUAGUGAUAUCUGGGAGAAUGCUUGGUUGUUUAAAGUAUUUCUUAAAACCCCAAGUUUGCUCAGGUGUCAAAGACUCAUUCCUUUAGGACACGGUCAUGAGAAAGUCUAUUUCAGCCACACAGGAUAAAUAGCAGACGAUUGAAGCACACAGAAGACAGGUAGAGCUUCCAAGAGGGAGGAAUUUUCUUCUCUGGGCACAAACGUUUUCAGAAACAAGACCAGAGCGUUCUUGUCAGUCAGCCAAGGUCGCACCUCAUCCUCAGCCUUGUGGGAGUCGUGGGUGCCUGUGUGCGUGAUUACUAACAGGAUUUGCAUCCCAGGGAUUUUGUUUUGUUGCAGCCUUAAAAGCCACGAUCUUUCAGUUUGAUCUUAACUCUGCUUUCCUCUGGCUCCUUAAACUUUUGCUUAGUAGAAGCUGCAUCUUCAGAACUGGCACCACAGCUGUUUGUAAGAGCUGAGAACACAGGGGAAGUUUGCAGUUCACACCCUGACAGGUUACAGCCACGUUUACUUGCUCUUAUUUCUGGAAUAGUGAGUACACGGUGUGCUCUACCUUCAGGAAUGUUCCCGUUAGGAACCUGUAAGCCCGAACUGUAGAGAAACUUGCUGUCAUCACCCAGCAGGGCCCCCAGGACUACUGUCUUCCAUUCAUUAGGAAUCCACCAGAUGUCUAGUAUCUUAGGGCAGGAGGCUGGUAAGGUCAGAGCUCGCUGCCCUCUGCCUUUUUCUCAUUUCACAGAUAAGGAAACUGAGGCUCAGGUAGUCUUACAGACUUGCUGAAGCCUUUUCCAGGAACACACCAGUAGGGGCUCACUUUGCCUCUCCCCCAACGUGAUCACAGGCUCACUGCAUUGCAUUCCACUUAGGUCAAGCACCUCUUUCUGCCUCUCACCUUUUCCCUGGGGGAGAAGUAGAGCCCAAACAUGCCAAACCUUUACUUUUCACCUAAACUUGAUCAGGCCACUGAUUUAGAAAUUGAAGUGAGGCAGGGAGAAAGGGGGAGCUGGAGGAAGGGCAGCUAGAAAGUUGCUAGAGGUUUUACUAAAACCCACCAUCCUGGAUACAGCUCAUCUUAUCUGAUCUCGGAUGCUGAACAGCUGGCCUUGCAUCUGGUUUAUGGACUAGGCUGGUCGCUAUUGAGGAAGCCACAAAUCAGGCAGAAAGAACCCUCCCUCAGUAAUAGUCUGUUCAGG